GAAUUUUUCGCAAUGGGGGAAACCCUGACGAAGCAACGCCGCGUGGAGGAUGAAGGCCUUCGGGUCGUAAACUCCUGUCGACCGGGAAGAAUGCACCUGACCUAAUACGUCGGCGUGUUGACUGUACCGGUCGAGGAAGCCACGGCUAACUCUGUGCCAGCAGCCGCGGUAAUACAGAGGUGGCAAGCGUUGUUCGGAAUUACUGGGCGUAAAGGGCGCGUAGGCGGCCCGUCAAGUCCCGUGUGAAAGCCCCCGGCUCAACCGGGGAACGGCGCGGGAAACUAGCAGGCUUGAGUUCGGGAGAGGGAAGCGGAAUUCCGGGUGUAGCGGUGAAAUGCGCAGAUAUCCGGAGGAACACCGGUGGCGAAGGCGGCUUCCUGGACCGACACUGACGCUGAGGCGCGAAAGCUAGGGGAGCAAACGGG
RNAcentral lists this ribosomal RNA (425 nucleotides) under uncultured bacterium. RNAcentral's name for it is "bacterial SSU rRNA". It matches the Rfam family "Bacterial small subunit ribosomal RNA", at positions 359 to 776 of the family's 1533-position model. The record is from RNAcentral.